Molecule: ribosomal RNA, 207 nt
Filed under: uncultured bacterium
Lineage: Bacteria
Description: partial 16S ribosomal RNA
Rfam family: Bacterial small subunit ribosomal RNA
Source: RNAcentral
UGCGUAGGUGGGUUGGUAAGUCCGUGGUGAAAUCUCCGAGCUUAACUCGGAAACUGCCGUGGAUACUAUCAAUCUUGAAUGUCGUGGAGGUAAGCGGAAUAUGUCAUGUAGCGGUGAAAUGCUUAGAUAUGACAUAGAACACCGAUAGCGGAGGCAGCUUACUACGCGAUAAUUGACACUGAGGCACGAAAGCGUGGGGAUCAAACA